UACGUAGGGGGCAAGCGUUGUUCGGAAUUACUGGGCGUAAAGGGCGCGUAGGCGGUUCGUUAAGUCCUGUGUGAAAUCCCCCGGCUCAACUGGGAACUGCACAGGAAACUAGCGGGCUUGAGUUCGGGAGAGGGAAGCGGAAUUCCGGGUGUAGCGGUGAAAUGCGUAGAUAUCCGGAGGAACACCGGUGGCGAAGGCGGCUUCCUGGACCGACACUGACGCUGAGGCGCGAAAGCUAGGGGAGCAAACGGG
RNAcentral lists this ribosomal RNA (252 nucleotides) under uncultured bacterium. Its description in RNAcentral is "partial 16S ribosomal RNA". It matches the Rfam family "Bacterial small subunit ribosomal RNA", at positions 524 to 776 of the family's 1533-position model. The record is from RNAcentral.